RNAcentral lists this ribosomal RNA (484 nucleotides) under uncultured bacterium. RNAcentral's name for it is "partial 16S ribosomal RNA". It matches the Rfam family "Bacterial small subunit ribosomal RNA", at positions 28 to 523 of the family's 1533-position model. The record is from RNAcentral.
GACGAACGCUGGCGGCGUGCUUAACACAUGCAAGUCGAACGAUGAACCCGGAGCUUGCUCCGGUGGAUUAGUGGCGAACGGGUGAGUAACACGUGAGUAACCUGCCCUUGACUCUGGGAUAACUGCGGGAAACUGUAGCUAAUGCCGGAUACGACCCUCGGCGGCAUCGCCCGGGGGGGGAAAGAAUUUCGGUCAAGGAUGGACUAGCGGCCUAUCAGCUGGUUGGUGAGGUAACGGCUCACCAAGGCGACGACGGGUAGCCGGCCUGAGAGGGUGACCGGCCACACUGGGACUGAGACACGGCCCAGACUCCUACGGGAGGCAGCAGUGGGGAAUAUUGCACAAUGGGCGUAAGCCUGAUGCAGCAACGCCGCGUGAGGGAUGACGGCCUUCGGGUUGUAAACCUCUUUUAGUAGGGAAGAAGCGAAAGUGACGGUACCUGCAGAAAAAGCACCGGCUAACUACGUGCCAGCCGCCGCCGUAA